RNAcentral lists this ribosomal RNA (253 nucleotides) under uncultured bacterium. RNAcentral's name for it is "partial 16S ribosomal RNA". It matches the Rfam family "Bacterial small subunit ribosomal RNA", at positions 524 to 776 of the family's 1533-position model. The record is from RNAcentral.
UACAGGGUGUGCAAACGUUGCUCGGAAUUAUUGGGCGUAAAGCGCGCGUAGGCGGCUACUUAAGUCGGAUGUGAAAGCCCUUGGCUCAACUGAGGAAGUGCACCCGAAACUGAGUGGCUAGAGUACGAAAGAGGGUCGCGGAAUUCCCGGUGUAGAGGUGAAAUUCGUAGAUAUCGGGAGGAACACCGGUGGCGAAGGCAGGUCUCUGGGCCGAUACUGACGCUGAGGAGCGAAAGCGUGGGGAGCGAACAGG